GGUUACUGCUAUCGGUGUUCGCCUAAGCCAUGCGAGUCAUAUGUAGCAAUACAUGGCGUACUGCUCAGUAACACGUGGAUAACCUGCCCUUGGGUCCGGCAUAACCCCGGGAAACUGGGGAUAAUUCCGGAUAACGCACAUAUGCUGGAAUGCUUUUUGCGUAAAAUGGAUUCGUCUGCCCAAGGAUGGGUCUGCGGCCUAUCAGGUAGUAGUGGGUGUAAUGUACCUACUAGCCUACGACGGGUACGGGUUGUGAGAGCAAGAGCCCGGAGAUGGAUUCUGAGACAUGAAUCCAGGCCCUACGGGGCGCAGCAGGCGCGAAAACUUUACAAUGCGGGAAACCGUGAUAAGGGGACACCGAGUGCCAGCAUCAUAUGCUGGCUGUCCGGGUGUGUAAAAUACACCUGUUAGCAAGGGCCGGGCAAGACCGGUGCCAGCCGCCGCGGUAACACCGGCGGCCCGAGUGGUGAUCGUGAUUAUUGGGUCUAAAGGGUCCGUAGCCGGUUUAGUCAGUCCUCCGGGAAAUCUGACGGCUUAACCGUUAGGCUUUCGGGGGAUACUGCCAGACUUGGAACCGGGAGAGGUAGGAGGUACUACAGGGGUAGGAGUGAAAUCUUGUAAUCCCUGUGGGACCACCUGUGGCGAAGGCGUCUUACCAGAACGGGUUCGACGGUGAGGGACGAAAGCUGGGGGCACGAACCGGAUUAGAUACCCGGGUAGUCCCAGCCGUAAACGAUGCUCGCUAGGUGUCAGGCAUGGCGCGACCGUGUCUGGUGCCGCAGGGAAGCCGUGAAGCGAGCCACCUGGGAAGUACGGCCGCAAGGCUGAAACUUAA
Molecule: ribosomal RNA, 835 nt
Filed under: uncultured archaeon
Lineage: Archaea
Description: bacterial SSU rRNA
Rfam family: Archaeal small subunit ribosomal RNA
Source: RNAcentral